AUGACUUGCCAAGGAAUAAUUUCACUCUAAAUACUUUUUACACAAAAUGGUGACUCACAGAUCUGGGAGUAAGGAAAAGGGAAAAGUUCUGGGAAGCUAAACAGACUUCACCUUUUACAUAUUUCGGAGCUGAACUGUUGCUAAGGCUGAAAAGUGUUCUCUUGGAAUUCUGCUUCAUUUCCAUUGAACCACAGUCCAAGAUUGUUGCCUUUGGUUGAUGCUGAAAAUAUAUUAAUUCCAAGUGAGAUACAGAUCCUUCUGUAGAGAGAGACACAGCAAGAGAGGGAACACAAGCAGGGGCAGAGGGAGAGUGAGAAGCAGGCUUUCCGAGGAGCAGGGAGCCCGAUGCGGGGCUCGAUCCCAGGACCCUGGGAUCAUGACCUGAGCCGAAGGCAGGCACUUAACGACUGAGCCACCCAGGCGCCCCUAUCUUCAGAAGGAACACUUCAAGCAAAGCCACUACUAUAUAAAUAAAUUCUCUGCAUUUUUUUCUCCUCGAAAGAAAUCUAAAGACAAAAAUCUAAACCUUUCCUCUUACAAUUUAAUCUGAAGCCUUUGGCACUGGUAUAUUUCCACUGGAGAUUAUUAAUACCAUAUUUUCAUAGCAGAUGAUUUGCUUUCUGCCUGAGUCUGAAAUACAACCUCUCUGUGCCCACUCACAGAGAAUUAUGUGAACAUUUUUGGUUCUACUAAUCAUAAAGAAAUGCUCCUACUAACUGAAUUUUCUGAAAAAGAAAUAAAGAAAUCAGCACAAUUUACAAUGGCAUCAAAAACAAUAAAAUACUUAGGAAUAAGUUUAAUCAAGGAGGUGAAAGAUCUCUUCUCUGAAAACUACAAGACAUUGAAGGAAGAAAUCAAAAAAGACACAAAUAAAUGGAAGGGCAUCUUGUGUUCACAGGUUGGAAGAAUUAACAUUGCUAAAAUGUGAAUAUUACUAAAGCUAUCUGUAGUUUCAAUGCAAUCCCUAUCAAGAUUGCAAUGGCAUUUUCACAGAAGUAAUAAGCACUCCUAAAAUUUAUAUGGACCAACAAAAGGCCCCAAAGAGCCAAAAAAGUACUGAGAAAGAAGAACCAAUCAGGAGGUAUCACACUCCCUGAUUUCAAGCUACACUAGAAAGUUAUAGUAAUGAAAAUAGUAUGGUGCUAGCAUAAAAACAGACAGCCCAAUGGAACAGAAGAAAGAGCCCAGAAAUAAACCCAAGCAUAUACAGUCAAGCAAUAUUUGACAAAGGAGUCAAGAACACUCAAUGGAGAAAAAUAAUCUUUUCAAUUAACAGUACUGGGAAAACUGGAUAUUCAUAUGUAAAAGAAUGAAACUGUACCCCUAUCUUACACCACUCGCAAAAAUUAAUUUGAGAUGGAUUAAGCACUUAAAUUUAAGACUAGAAAUAAACUCCUAGAAGAAAACAUAGAAAUAAACCUCCUUGACAUGUUCUUGGUAAGGAUUUGGAUAGGACACUUAAAGCACAGGCAACAAAAAUAAACAAGUGGGUUAAUGUCGAACUAAAAAGCUUCUGCAGAAACCGUAAUAAAGUGAAAAAACAAUUUGUGGAAUGGGAAGAAAUAUUAGCAAAUCAUAUAUAUAAGGAGUUAUUGCCCAAAAUAUACAAAGAAUUUAUGCAACUCAAUAGUAAAGAAACAAUAACCUAAUUAAAAAAUGGGUAAAUGAUCUGAACAGACAUUUUUCCAAAGAAGACAUGCAAAAGGCCAACAAGUACACAAAAAGAUGCUCAACAUCACUAGCCAGUUGGGAACUGCAAAUUAAAACCACAAUGAGAUACCACCUCAUACCCGUCAGAAUGGCCACCAUCAAAAAGACAAGAAAUAACAAAUGCUGGCGUGGAAGUAAAGAAAAGGAAACCUCUGUGCACUGUUGGUGGGAUUAUAAGUUGGUGCAGCCACUAUGGAAAACAGUAUGGAAGAUCCUCAAAAAAUUAAAAAUAGAACUGUCAUAUGAUCCAGCAAUUCCAUUUCUGGAAAAAACAUCCAAAGGGAAUGAAAACACUAAUUCAAAAAGUUACCUGCACCCCCAUGUUCAUAGCAGCAUUAUUACAAUAGCCAAGACAUCGAAACAAUCUAACUGUUCAUUGACGGAUGAAUGGAUAAAGUUGUGGCAUAUAUGUAUAUAUUACAGAAUAUUAUUUGGCCAUAAAAAAAGAGGGAAUCCUACCAUUUGCAAGAACAUGGAUGGACCUUGAGGACAUUAUGCUAAGUGAAAUAAGUCAGACAAAUUCAAAUACUGUAUGAUCUCACUUGUAUGUGGAAUCUUAAAAACAAACAAACAAACAAAAAACCUCAUAGAAAAUGAGAUUAGACUUGUAACCAGAGGUGAAGUGUGGAGGGAGGGGGAAUUGGAGGAAGUGAUCAAAAGGUACAAACUUCCAGUUAUAAGGUGAAUAAACAUUAGGGGCAUAAUGUACAACAUGAUGACUGUAGUUAACAUUGCUGUGUGAUAUAUAGGAAGUUGUUAAGUGAGUAAAUCCUAUGAGUUAUCACAAUUUUUUUUUUCUUUUCUUUUUAUCUAUAUGCGACAGUGAAUACGAGCUGAACCUAUUGUGGUCAUCAUUUCACAAUGUAUGUAAGUCAAAGCAUCAUGCUGUACACCUUAAACAUACACAGUGAUGUAUGUCAAUUACUUCUCAAUAAAAUUGGAAAAGAAAAAAGGAAAAUGCUCCCAGUGAUAAACUGGUGAAUCCAGAAUAAAUGUCUUCUGCCCAUUUUUUUAACUGGA
Molecule: long non-coding RNA, 2730 nt
Organism: Mirounga angustirostris (Northern elephant seal)
Lineage: Eukaryota; Metazoa; Chordata; Mammalia; Carnivora; Phocidae
Exons: 4
Source: RefSeq, a predicted model, not a curated record